ACCCGAGUGAAGGCCGGGCAAGCAGCCGCAGACGCACCUGGCGAGGCCCUGCGCCUGGAUGGAUGGAAACUGGAUGGAUGGAAACACAGCCAGAACGGUUCUUAGGUCAAAAGACGCCGAGGGGAGCCUACUCUGUGAUCAUGUGUGAUGUGCCACCUGGAGACAAUUAUUCAUCAAAUGCCAGCUCAAGUGCCACUUCCUCUGAGAGCCGCUCACUAUUCUGCAUUUCUGCUUCCUCUGGGCUAAAGAGAAUGAAGGUGAUAGAGAUGACUACCAUACAAGUUGGUAAGAGGGAAAAAAAACUCUGGACAUGGCCCCAAAGACAGA
Long non-coding RNA from Herpailurus yagouaroundi (jaguarundi), 327 nucleotides. RefSeq lists it as uncharacterized. The record is from RefSeq and is a predicted model, not a curated record. The transcript has 3 exons. NCBI's taxonomy places the organism in Eukaryota, Metazoa, Chordata, Mammalia, Carnivora, Felidae.